AAUCAACGCUGGCGGCGUGCCUAACACAUGCAAGUCGAACGCGAAAGGGGCUUCGGCCCUGAGUAGAGUGGCGAACGGGUGAGUAACACGUGGGUGAUCUACCUUCGAGUGGGGGAUAACGUUCCGAAAGGAGCGCUAAUACCGCAUGACGUUCCGGGUUUGAAGACCUGGAAACCAAAGCCGGGGACCGCAAGGCCUGGCGCUUGGAGAGGAGCCCGCGUCCGAUUAGCUAGUUGGCGGGGUAACGGCCCACCAAGGCGACGAUCGGUAGCCGGCCUGAGAGGGCGGACGGCCACACUGGAACUGAGACACGGUCCAGACUCCUACGGGAGGCAGCAGUGGGGAAUUGUUCACAAUGGGCGCAAGCCUGAUGACGCAACGCCGCGUGGGGGAUGAAGGUCUUCGGAUUGUAAACCCCUGUCGAACGGGACGAAAGACUCGCGAGCUAAUCAUCGCGAGAGUGACGGUACCGUUAAAGGAAGCCACGGCUAACUCUGUGC
Molecule: ribosomal RNA, 500 nt
Filed under: uncultured bacterium
Lineage: Bacteria
Description: bacterial SSU rRNA
Rfam family: Bacterial small subunit ribosomal RNA
Source: RNAcentral